ACUCGCGAUUCCUUGAUCUCCACCGCUGGAUUCGUUCUCUGUUUUCCUCUGAUUCGCGUCCUCCUCCUUAGUCGGAGCUUUCUCUCCCAAAGUAAUUGCGCAAGCGAAUCUCAUACCUCCAAUCCAAGCCGAUAUGCAACAUGAGGCUACAAGAGAUGGCUUGCCGAGAACGCCUCGUAAGACGUAAUCGGACGGAUCGUUGAGAACAAACGUGGUUUAGUCGCCGUUAACCGCCGCCUUGGCUUCACCGACUCAUCGGAGAGAAGUGAGAUCAACUCUUAUGGAUCAUCAUGUUGCAGAGGAGAUCAUCAUCAUCAUCGACUUUUCACUUCUUCAAUAAUGGAUCAUCGGAAUUCACACAGAGUCUCUGUAUAAAGAGAUUCUCUCAAGAAGAAAAUUAAAGAAGAAGAAGAAGAUGCGUGAAUCAGAGAGUUUUUGAUUUUUUUUUUUCUCUCAAGGAAGAAUUAGAAGAGGCUGCGUGUGAGAAUCUGUAUUUAUAAGCGAAGUGUUAAUUAGGUCUUGAUCUAUAAUGAUAACCGUUUGUUCAAUGUAGCCGUUGGAGUCGGUUAAUGACUUUGACAUAAGCAGAUAUUUGUAUUGAAUAUUGUUCUUAAUUUCCUUUUCUU
Molecule: small RNA, 626 nt
Filed under: Arabidopsis thaliana (thale cress)
Lineage: Eukaryota; Viridiplantae; Streptophyta; Magnoliopsida; Brassicales; Brassicaceae
Description: putative long intergenic non-coding RNA
Source: RNAcentral